UGUCACAAUCAUUGAGGCCUGAGCAGGUGAAACAGGUGGUGAGUUUAUCCUUGGUCAGAGUUGUGGUUGCAGAGGAACCUGGAGAGAGAGAGGAAGCCCUAGGAUUACUUGCAAAGAGAGAGAGAGAUACCUAAGUGGCCUCCAUUGAUGCCUUGUUUGCUGUACUAUUCACUACUGAGAUCUUCAGCCAGCAUAUAAAGGGCCCUGAGGCAGCCAUGCUGUGAAGAAGCCCAGUCUAACCAAUGGGGAAAAAUCACAUCGGAGAGGCCCAGAGUCUACACAUGUGAGUUGCUCUGGGACCUGCAUUUCCAGCUCCGGCCACCCUCUGCCUGGGAAUCCCAUGAGACUCAGAACCAUCCAGUUGAGCUCUUUCACAAUUCCCAACCUAGAGAAAGAGUUAAUAAAAUGAUGGCCAUUAUUUUAAGCCACUGCCUUUGUGAGUGAUUCACUAAAUAGCAAGAGCACCAGAGCACCACCUACUAAUGAACCUCGGCACUCGUUUGCGCAGCCCUCCUUCCCCGACCAACCCCCACCACAACCCAGAGCAUUUUCCUGUGAAGUGGGAUCAGCCUGGUCUCAGCCACCUCCUUCCAACCCCUGAAGACACAUUCUGAGGAGCAGCAACCAGAGCCGAAGAGAGAACACAAGCAGGGAGAGUGGUAGGCAGAGGCAGAGGGAGAAGCAGGCUCCCUGCUGAGCAGAGACCACGAAGUGGGGCUUCAUCCAGGACCCCAGGAUCAUGACCUGAACCGAAAGCAGAUGCUUAACCAACUGAGCCACCCAAGCGCCCCACACUGCUCUGCUCAAGUAGCCCUCAAGGGAGCUCUUCUCCUAAGGAGAAAUAAAAGUUUGAGGCUCCUCUCCAGCCCCUCAAUAACUCAGUGAGUGCAACUAUUUCUGCAGUGCCUGCUACAUGCCAGCCUUGUGCUCGAAGGCACCCCCUGCAAAACUUAGUUCACACCCAUUUUCCAGAUGAGAAUACUGAGGUUCUCCUUUCUCUGGUCAGCCAGGCAGAGCUGGAAAUUGAGGUCAAGUUCCCCCAACACCCUACCUGGGGCUGUGACCCCCAAGUCCUGCCAACAAACCUUGUCGGGUGGCCUUGCUGCAGUUGUCCUCACAACAGGCCAUGCUGACCCAGAGACUCAAGUCGGGGCCAUAGGUCAGGGAGUAGACACCUUCUCGGCAUUCCCCAGGGGCGACACAUGACCCGUUCUUGAUGAGAUUCCCAUUUUCUGGGGACAGAGGUUGUGGA
Long non-coding RNA from Canis lupus familiaris (dog), 1252 nucleotides. RefSeq lists it as uncharacterized. Lineage: Eukaryota; Metazoa; Chordata; Mammalia; Carnivora; Canidae. The record is from RefSeq and is a predicted model, not a curated record. The transcript is spliced from 4 exons.